UAUUCUCUUGGUGGCCCACAGGGCCCCCUGGCGAGUCCCUCCGGCGCUGCACGACUGCACAAGCAGCUUCAGGGCGGGGGCUUCGAGGGCUAGCGGAGCUACUGUGCUUCUAAAAAAGGCCAGCUAGAAUGGAGGUGCUGUGUGGAGUCAGACCGGGCUAUGGCUUCUUCUUCUAGAUUGGGAAACUACACUUUUUAUAGGAAACUAGCCCUUCCUUCUCACAGGCCGAGCACGUGGAGAAGGCUUGUCACUCAGGGUCUUCCCUAAGGAGCCUUGGGAAGCUGUAUUCCAGGAAAGCCUACAUGUUCUCUGAAGCUCCUCCUUGAGGAAAUCAGUUAACGGUUGCUUCAAGAGGAAACAGAUCGAUAUAUUGAAAGCGAAACACUAAGUACUGCUACCGCUUAGAGCACACCCCUAUGCAUAUUUACUCAGAAGUUAGUGCCGUUAUGCUCAAGGAAGCUUAAGUUCCAGGCAUUUCUGUUAUUUCAAAAAGAGUUCAACACUGCACAUCUACGCAUAAAAGUCCAUGGACCAAAUGUAUGUUUAAAGGUUUAAAUAUGCCCAUAGUGAAGAAAGUGAGAGACCUCUCUUUUGGCCAUAUGAAAUUAAAACAUCUAUUUGUUAUAAAGUUACCAAUAUUUCAAACAUAUGAAAUCCUCAAACCUCAGAUAAAUUAAGAGUCGUGCUCAUAGCAGCAAUUUAUUUCUGUAUCAAUUCUGUGAGAGAAAAUAGAUGGGUUUCAUUCUGAGGGGAAGGAAAAUCUGCUCUUUCUCAGCCUUUGUCCUUCACCUACAAUAUGGGGAUGGUAACUGACCUACCUUAAAGGGUUACAGUAUGGGCAGUUUACGCAACAUGCUUUGAACUCCUAUAUAACUGCAGUGUAUUAUUCUUAGCAGCAGGAUAGCUUUAUCUAUCACUUGCAGUGUUGCCUUACUCUCAUGCCUUUAACAGCAUCAUGAUACACAAAAAAUAUAAAAGUGAGGAUUUUGCUGUCCCUUCAGCUCCAAUGUCAGGAAAACCAGAUUGCUGUUAACAGGGAAAGAAGAAAAUAAGUACUAGUGGCAAUCUCGCUUCUUUGGUACAGUAUAGUGGUGAUCUAUGCCCAGAAGAGAACUAUGCUUCAAAAGCAGAGAUACUAGCAAAAUUUCCUGGACUACAUUGGAACCUAUUAUUAUAUUCUGUCCAUAAUUUAUUGUACAUUAAAAAGUCAGGGAAAGUACCAUGCAAUUGCACUGAGCAAAAGACUCUACCUUUCGUGUACAAAUGCCCGAAUGGUGUCAGAGUACAGAAAAACUGCAGAAGUCACUGUAGUUAAGAAAAUUUGAAUCGAAAGAAUGCUGUAGACUUUGCGCAGAAAAGCUAAGAUAUGGAAAACAAAACAACAAAUUAACAUGGCAUAAUACGUCCUCAAUUUUUUAAAGACUUUACCCCCAAAUCAAGUAACAAGUAGGAAAAAUAAUACAUAUUUUAACAAAGUAUAGAAACAAAAAAGAACACAUUAGUGAAAUCUGAAGAGAAAGAAAUGUAUGCACUGGAAUGAAAGAAGUGGGUCUUUGAAGCAGGGCUGUGGAGUCGGUACGCCAAACCUUCGACUCCGACUCUUCUUUUUUUUCUACUGUCCGACUCUACCCAAAAUUGCUUCUGACUCCACAACUCCGACUCUGACUCCACAGCCCUGGAAAGGGCUGUAAAUGUCUUUUUAAAUUGGAAGCUCUCAUAAGAGCAUCUUUAUCGCUGCCUGAAUAUGCGCUGAUCUUGGCAUCACAGCAUUUGUCUUCAUCUGGGUCCUGUGUCAUACACUGACACACAAAAUGUUUUCCAUCUUGAGUUAUGGUGAAAUGCUCAAAUACAGCUGACUUCAUGGGAAGCUUCUUUGACAUUUUGAAUUUAUAUUUUAAAAAAAUUGUCAAUCAAAAUUUAUUUUGAAGCCGGAGUCGGUACAUUUCUACCGACUCCACCCAAAAUUGCUUCUGACUCCGACUCCACAGCCCUGCUUUGAAGGGCAGCCACAGGUUAAUAUCAUGCUCAUUUAGCAUUGCCAACAUUAUGCAUCAGGGAGCACGAGUAGCCCAAGUAACUAUUUCCCUGCAAAAACAGUUCCAACACUUCAUAAAUGAAAUGUUUGUUAUGUUCACAUAAAUGGCUGACCAAUGAAUUAUUAUGGACUUCCUCCUGCACCUUACAUCUACUUAUAUGCUUACAAUGGGUAUUCAUGUUGCCCCAGAACAAGAAUCACCUAUGCAAAGAACAGUGCUGGAUCUGCUGUUGGUUCAAGGGCUUCUUCUGCCACUCUAACAACUCCUUGCAGUGUUGACAUCAUUUUUCCUAGCGCUACUUCUGUGACUUCAGCAGCAUCUAAAAAAAUCCAGUAUGGCAGGGGGAGGCAGGGUAGGUUUUGCUGGAGGGCAAAGAGAGAGUAGCCCCCUUCAUGCAUGGGGCAUCAUGACUAGAAAUGGGCUAAUCAGCCCCACAUAGCCUUUCUAAGCAUGAAGUCCUGUUAUGUGAUUCACAUACAAAGGGGACUACUGUUAUCUUAUUCAACUCAAAGAUGUAAUUCCAUGCUCACAUCCAACAAUUCUAAGGGUUUCACAUGCAAGAUAAGGAGUGGGAGGAUGUUGGGGAAGAGACAGUAAUUUAAGCAAACUCAAGAAGAUUAUACCUUCCUCCCAAGGUGGGGCUGGUUCAGAGCUUGGAAAAGUUACUUUUUUGAACUACAACUGCCAUCAGCCCCAGCCAGCAUGGCCACUGGAUUGGGCUGAUGGGAGUUGUAGUUCAAAAAAGUAACUUUUCCAAGCUCUGGGCUGGUUGUUAUAGCGAUAAGGAAAGACCAGAGAAAAACUUGCUAUCUGUCUUCACAUUUCAUUUAGGAUCUCCAUUUUAUGCUCUUAAGAGUGGUAAAAAACCCCAACAUGUUGGCAUAUAAAUAAAUAGUGCAACAUGUAUCUGUAUUAAACUGUGU
This is a long non-coding RNA of Rhineura floridana, 2959 nucleotides long. RefSeq lists it as uncharacterized. Lineage: Eukaryota; Metazoa; Chordata; Lepidosauria; Squamata; Rhineuridae. The transcript has 4 exons. The record is from RefSeq and is a predicted model, not a curated record.